This 74-nucleotide transfer RNA is filed under the name bacterium. RNAcentral's name for it is "tRNA-Met". It matches the Rfam family "tRNA". Rfam says of the family: Transfer RNA (tRNA) molecules are approximately 80 nucleotides in length. The record is from RNAcentral.
GGGCCGUUAGCUCAGUCUGGCAGAGCAGCGGACUCAUAAUCCGUAGGUCGAAGGUUCAAAUCCUUCACGGCCCA